This 347-nucleotide unclassified non-coding RNA is filed under the name soil metagenome. Its description in RNAcentral is "partial contains 5.8S ribosomal RNA, internal transcribed spacer 2, and large subunit ribosomal RNA". The stretch from base 1 to 120 matches the Rfam family "5.8S ribosomal RNA", at positions 35 to 154 of the family's 154-position model. The record is from RNAcentral.
GAUGAAGAACGUAGCGAAAUGCGAUAAGUAAUGUGAAUUGCAGAAUUCAGUGAAUCAUCGAGUCUUUGAACGCACAUUGCGCCCUCUGGUAUUCCGGAGGGCAUGCCUGUCCGAGCGUCAUUGCUGCCCUCCAGCCCGGCUGGUGUGUUGGGCCCCGUCCCCCUUCCCGGGGGGACGGGCCCGAAAGGCAGCGGCGGCACCGCGUCCGGUCCUCGAGCGUAUGGGGCUUUGUCACCCGCUCUUGUAGGCCCGGCCGGCGCCAGCCGACCCCCUCAAUCUAUUUUUCAGGUUGACCUCGGAUCAGGUAGGGAUACCCGCUGAACUUAAGCAUAUCAAUAAGCGGAGGA